Molecule: ribosomal RNA, 253 nt
Filed under: uncultured bacterium
Lineage: Bacteria
Description: partial 16S ribosomal RNA
Rfam family: Bacterial small subunit ribosomal RNA
Source: RNAcentral
UACGUAGGGUGCGAGCGUUGUCCGGAAUUACUGGGCGUAAAGGGCUCGUAGGCGGUUUGUCGCGUCGGGAGUGAAAACACGGGGCUUAACCCCGUGCCUGCUUCCGAUACGGGCAGACUAGAGGUAUGCAGGGGAGAACGGAAUUCCUGGUGUAGCGGUGAAAUGCGCAGAUAUCAGGAGGAACACCGGUGGCGAAGGCGGUUCUCUGGGAAUAUCCUGACGCUGAGGAGCGAAAGUGUGGGGAGCGAACAGG